Molecule: small RNA, 51 nt
Filed under: unclassified sequences
Also listed under: 1 other name
Description: Streptococcus sRNA SpF59 (ldcC RNA)
Rfam family: Streptococcus sRNA SpF59 (ldcC RNA)
Source: Rfam by way of RNAcentral
UGACCGCUUAUUAUAAGCUGAGGCUACACGGACGGCCGGGUCAAAUGCCGA